GUAGGGAAUCUUCGGCAAUGGGGGCAACCCUGACCGAGCAACGCCGCGUGAGUGAAGAAGGUUUUCGGAUCGUAAAACUCUGUUGUUAGAGAAGAACGUUAAGUAGAGUGGAAAAUUACUUAAGUGACGGUAUCUAACCAGAAAGGGACGGCUAACUACGUGCCAGCAGCCGCGGUAAUACGUAGGUCCCAAGCGUUGUCCGGAUUUAUUGGGCGUAAAGCGAGCGCAGGUGGUUUCUUAAGUCUGAUGUAAAAGGCAGUGGCUCAACCAUUGUGUGCAUUGGAAACUGGGAGACUUGAGUGCAGGAGAGGAGAGUGGAAUUCCAUGUGUAGCGGUGAAAUGCGUAGAUAUAUGGAGGAACACCGGAGGCGAAAGCGGCUCUCUGGCCUGUAACUGACACUGAGGCUCGAAAGCGUGGGGAGCAAACAGGAUUAGAAACCCUAGUAGUCC
RNAcentral lists this ribosomal RNA (450 nucleotides) under uncultured bacterium. Its description in RNAcentral is "bacterial SSU rRNA". It matches the Rfam family "Bacterial small subunit ribosomal RNA", at positions 354 to 796 of the family's 1533-position model. The record is from RNAcentral.